This 253-nucleotide ribosomal RNA is filed under the name uncultured bacterium. RNAcentral's name for it is "partial 16S ribosomal RNA". It matches the Rfam family "Bacterial small subunit ribosomal RNA", at positions 524 to 776 of the family's 1533-position model. The record is from RNAcentral.
UACGUAGGGGGCAAGCGUUGUCCGGAUUUACUGGGCGUAAAGCGCGUGCAGGCGGUUAUCCAAGUUGGAUGUGAAAGCCUUGAGCUCAACUCAAGAAAUGCAUUCAGGACUGGGUGACUAGAGGACCGGAGAGGAUAGUGGAAUUCCCGGUGUAGUGGUGAAAUGCGUAGAUAUCGGGAGGAACACCAGUGGCGAAGGCGACUAUCUGGCCUGUUCUUGACGCUGAGGCGCGAAAGCUAGGGGAGCAAACGGG